This is a non-coding RNA of Cordylochernes scorpioides, 73 nucleotides long. The record is from the annotation of a GenBank genome assembly. Lineage: Eukaryota; Metazoa; Arthropoda; Arachnida; Pseudoscorpiones; Chernetidae.
GCCGAAAUAGCUCAGUUGGGAGAGUGUUAGACUGAAGAUCUGAAGGUCCCUGGUUCGAUCCCGGGUUUCGGCA